This 460-nucleotide ribosomal RNA is filed under the name uncultured bacterium. Its description in RNAcentral is "partial 16S ribosomal RNA". It matches the Rfam family "Bacterial small subunit ribosomal RNA", at positions 338 to 795 of the family's 1533-position model. The record is from RNAcentral.
CCUACGGGGAGCAGCAGUGAGGAAUAUUGGUCAAUGGACGAGAGUCUGACCCAGCCAAGUAGCGUGAAGGAUGACUGCCCUAUGGGUUGUAAACUUCUUUUAUAAAUGAAUAAAACGAGGCACGUGUGCCUUUUUGCAUGUACUUUAUGAAUAAGGAUCGGCUAACUCCGUGCCAGCAGCCGCGGUAAUACGGAGGAUCCGAGCUUUAUCCGGAUUUGUUGGGUUUAAAGGGAGCGUAGAUGGGUUGUUACGUCAGUUGUGAAAGUUUGCGGCUCAACCGUAAAAUUGCAAUUGAUACUGGCAGUCUUGAGUACAGUUGAGGUAGGCGGAAUUCGUGGUGUAGCGGUGAAAUGCUUAGAUAUCACGAAGAACCCCGAUUGCGAAGGCAGCUUACUAAACUGUGACUGACAUUGAUGCUCGAAAGUGUGGGUAUCAAACAGGAUUAGAUACCCGAGUAGUC